CUAAAAUAUAUAUUGAACAAUGGGCUGUGAAGUGUACAACGUUAAAUGCAUCUCAGUGUAGAUUAUGAUCUUAUCUGAAGUAUAUAAGUAGAAUGAAUUUUGGGAUACUUUUUGGGGUAGUCCUUUGCUGCUACUUGAGGACAACUAAGUAUUAUUAUCACUAUAUAGACAAAACUCAAUUAACUCUGAUGUAAGGAAUGCAUUUGGCAGAACAUAAAUGCUUCAGUCAUUUUUACCUCUUAUUUUGCAAUUAAUCACAGCUUCGUGAUAUCUCCUUUAUUGUACUUUCUUUUAUUUACUUUAUUGUGCUUCCCAGGCAUAUUUCUAAGCUCAUUAAAAGCAGAGGCUAAUCUAGUUGAGUUCCUUACAAAAGACAGGGGCUGUCUGGUAAUUCAUUUUGUCAUUUAUUAACUUAUCAAAGUGAUAUUGUUAUGCACUCAGUUAAUGCUACUGAAAAAGAUGAAAAAGCAUGGUUCUUGUCUACCAGGCAUACUUCUUUCAAUAUCUUAUCAACUCUUUCCUUGAAUCUGAUGGGAAUUCCAGGAGCUUCAUUUGCUCAGAGCAUAAUGCAGGAACCCUGCGACUGACUCUCCCCAGGACCUGUGUAAGUUGGAAAGCCUUUGGUAGCAAAGUGGAGGACGUGUGGUUGGCUUUUAAUCUAUUUCCCCGACUUGGCAAAUGUUUUCCUUCACACCCAUGCUUGCUGGACCGGCUUCAUCUCCAUAGUUAAGGUGAGACGGGGGAAAGGUGAAUUGUGGGUAAUGGAACAGUCUUACUUGAAGGGCAGUACCACAACUUGGCCUUGGUAUUGUCUAGUCUGAAUGGCGAAGUAUCUAUGUGAAGAGUCUCUCCAUGUUGUUCUGGUUUCUGUUUUUCCUUCUCCUUUAAAUCUCCUGAAUUCCUUUCAGGUGGAGAAGAUGGGCGGUCUGACUCACCGCAACCUAGCAGAUAAAGAGGAUACAACGCAGAGCCCAGGUGGUCAAAAGAGUAAAAUGACCUUGCUCAAUUCUCUUUUCAGGCAGCGACCUACUUGCUCCAAUAACUCUAAAUCUAAGGUUCCUCGAUCCUAAGGAAACCAAUGGCAUUCCUCCCGAAUUAAGAGUAUAAGCUUGUGUAGAGCUCCAGGCUCUACAGUGCGCUGGAUGGCCUUAAGAAGCUGCUGCACUGUUUUAAAAAAUGCUUUCUGCUCUUUGGUCAUUUCUUGACCCAUGAUAACCUAACCCCUGAUAUUUUACGUUUGCCUACUGUCCUCCUGAUGGGAGUCGGGACUGUCUCUUACCGGGAUUCCCUCGAAAAUUGAUGAGCUCUCCUCCUUUACGUGGAAAUUCAAGGCUGUCACGUCGGGGGCACCAGUUACAGAGCUUAUAGCUUGCAGUGAACGCCAAGAAUGAAGUACUCAGACAAUUCCAGCCGAGCGGUGCCACGGGGUAGCUCUUCUGAGAGAGUCUGCCCCAGCAUUUGUCCGCCAAUUAUUCACUGGAAGGACUUGUAGUAACUACAAAUUUCCACCAGAUGGCUACUUGGGUGGCUUGUUGAGGCAACUGUACCGUGUACACACUCAAUCCGCAUUCUCAGGAGGCUGUUUCCAGCAUUCUUUAUGACACCGCACACUCCACUCCCUGUCUUGUUUUCAGGGUCAAGGAGUUUCAUUCUCAUGCACAGAUAACACAAAUAAUACACAAGUAUUUUUCCUCAAAUACAAGUAUUUUUCCUUGUACAUAAGCUUGAAUGUGUUGCCAGGUGCCCCACUACACCCAUCUCUACUAAAAAUACAAAAAAAUUAGCUGGGCAUGGUGGCACAUGCCUGUAAUGCCAGCUACUCAGGAGGCUGAGGCAGGAGAAUUGUUUGAACCCAGGAGUCGGAGGUUGCAGUGAGCCGAGAUCGCGCUCUGCACUCCAGCCUGGGUAACAGAAUGAGACUCCAUCUAAAACAAACAAACGAACAUUUUACUUUUAAAAUCAUGAUUUUCACUAUCCAAUUAAAACCACCUAUUAGAGAGAAGAUAUUAAAUGAGCCAAGAUGUGUAAUUGAUGAUCAUCAAAUGUGUAUUGGUGAUUAUCUUUUCAAUUUUGAUUUUCUAAUAAUUCAGUUCUAUAGAAGUGUUUUAAUCCCUUAAAGUAUAUCUUGAUUUCCUAAUGUGUCUUAGUGUAAGUUAAGCAAUUCAUUUAGCAGACAUUUAUUAAGUCCUUAAAAUAUACUGUGCUUGUUCCAGAGACACAGCUGGAAUUGUCUGAAUAUUUCAUUCUUGGCGUUCAGUGCAAGCUAUAAGCUCUGCAACUGGUGCCCGCGACGUGCUACAUUACACUAAUGUAAUGAGAGAGAGCUACACUAACAAAUAAAUUAUAAGGCUAUAGAAAGUAUGUACAAGUUUCAAAUGCACUGGAGGCAUAUAUGUCUUUGACUCAGCAAUUCCGCUUUCAUGUAUUUAUAGCAAGGAAAUUAUUUGGGAAAUGAAGUAAUAUUUAGCAAUAAUAGUUUUGACUGAUAUAUAUUAAAGAAUUGAAAUAGAACCUCCUACUUGGAUAUACAUGCAAGAUAAUCCUAGCCUUUAAAAAUGAUGUAUGAUUAUGUCUUGGUCUGGAAGGAAGUUUGCUUCUCAGAGUUAGUUAUGACUUUUCCUAACAGCUGGCUGUAUUCACAUGAUGGAUUUUGAAUUAGUAAUAUGUUUAAGAGUAUGAAUGUCAUACAGAUAGUUAAAAAUCAUUUUCUCUAUACAUAGUUGCCUCACACAUUUCAAGUGUGAUCAGCUACUAAGUUGAUUUUACGGUGUCAUUUAGAUUGUCUACAACACAACAUACUAAAAUCUGUAGGAUGCAGCAAAAGCAGUGUUAAAAGUUUAUAAUGUUAAAUGGCUACCUCAAAAAGUUAGAAAGAUCUCAAAUUAGCAAUCUAACACACUUAGCAGAACUAGAAAAACAAGAACUAACCACAAAGCUAAAAGAAGAAAAGACAUCUAAAAGCAGAGCAGAAUUGAAUAAAAUUGAGACCCUAAAAUACAUAUACAGAAUCAAGUAAACUAAAAAUUGAUUUUUUUUAAAAAGGAUAAACAAGAUUCAUAGACUGCUAUCUACAUUAACAAGGAAAAAGAGAGAGAUGAUCCAAAUCAGCACAAUCAGAAGCAAAAAAGGCAGCAUUAGAAAUGAUUCCACAGACACGCAGAAGAUCCUCAGAGGCUUUUAUGAACACCUCUAUUCACACAAACUAGAAAAUCUAGAGGAAAUGAAUAAAUUCCUGGAAACGCACAACUUUCCAAGACUGAGUCAGGACAAAAAAUGGAAACCCUGAACAGACCAAUAUUGAGUUCAAAAAUGGAAUCAGUAAUAAAAAAUUAACAAGCAAAAAAAAGCUCUGGACCAGAUGGACUCACAGUCAAAUUCUACCUGAUGUACAAAGAACAGCUGGUACCAACGCUACUGAAAUUAUUCCAAAAAAACUGAGGAAGAGAAACUUCCCCAACUCAGCCUACAAAGUCAGCAUCUCCCUGAUACCAAAACCCAGCAAAGACAUGAAAAAAGAAAACUACAAGCCAAUAACCCUGAUGAACAUAAAUGCAGAAAUCCUCAACAAAAUCGUAACAAACAAUAUCUAUCAGCACAUCAAAAAAGUUAAUUCACCAUGAUAAAGUAGGUUUCAUUCUUGGGAUGCAAGAUUAGUUCAACAUCAGCAAAUCAAUAAAUGUAAUUCACCACAUAAACAGAAUUAAAAACAAAAACCAUAUGAUCACCUUAAUAGAUACAGAAAAAACUUUUGAUAAAAUCUAAUUUCCCUUCGUGAUAAAAUUCCUCCACAAACUAGGCAUUGAAGGAACAACUCCUGGGUCUCCAACUGACUUAGGGCAUUCCCGGAUCAGUGCCCUCUGGAGUUGUGCAAAUUAUAGCCCUGCUUGCAUAUAGAAAUCGUCCCCCUCAAACAGUACCUCUGAAUGUGACUUUAUUUGGAAACAGGGUUGAUGCAGAUGUAGUUAGUUAAGAUGAUGUCAUAUGGGAGCAGGGUGGGCCCCAAUCCAACAUGACUCAUGCCCUUAUAAAAAGGGGAAAUUUAGACACAGAUAUGCACACAGGGAGAAUGCCAUGUGAAAAUGAAGGCAGAUUUGGGUGACACAGUAACAACUAAGCGUGAUGGUUAAUUCUUUGUCAACUGGACUGGGCCGGGGGUGCCCAGAUAUUUGAGUGAACAUUAUUCUGAGUUUAACUGUGAAGAUGUUUUUGGAUGAGAUUAACAUUUGAAUUGGUAGACUGAGUAAUGCAGAUUGCCCUCCCUAAGGCCGGUGGGCUUCAUCCAAUCAGCUGAAGGCUUGAUCAGAGCAAAAAGGCUGACCUUCCUCUAUUAAGAGUGAACUUCUGACUGACUGCUGACCUGGCACAUUAGUCUUUUCUGGCCUUUAGAUUCAGACUGAAGCAUUGGCUCCUCUUGAGUCUUGAGUCUGCUGGCUCCUGGACUGAGUCUCCAACUUGCUGACUGUGCAUCUGGGAACUACUCAGCUUCCUUAAUGGUGUCAGCCAAUACCUUGUAAUCUCUCUCUCUCUCUCUCUCUCUCUCACACACACACAUCCUAUUGGUCCUGUUUCUCUGGAGAACCCUGAGUAAUACAUUAAAGAAUGCCCAAUAUUUCCAAAAAAACACCAGAAGCUCGGAAAGAGACUCCCUCAUAGGCCCCAGAAGGAACCAAUCUGCCAGCACCUUGAUCUAGAACUUCUGGCUUCCAGAAUUGUCAAAAAAGAAAUGUUUACUGUCUAAGCCACUCUAUCUGUGGUACUUUGUUAUAGUAGCUCCAGGAAACUAAUGUACCUCCUGAAACGGAAAAUUUCAGAAGAUAAUUUUGAAAGCAGCCUGAGAUUUUCUUCUUGUAAGAUUUUUCCAGUUGAGAAUUGCAGAAAUAACAACAAACCAUAUGUUAGCGCUCUGCUCUCUUUCUUCCAUAUUGGUUGCUUUUGUUAAUGGCUUUUAUUUGUGUAUAGUUUUUCUUUUGUAUUAUGCUUUACCUCACCGUACCAGUCCCCUUUUUUCCUGCACUAUCUAUUCUGAUUCUUGAUUGAUGCUAAUGUGGUUU
Long non-coding RNA from Callithrix jacchus (white-tufted-ear marmoset), 5051 nucleotides. The record is from Ensembl. NCBI's taxonomy places the organism in Eukaryota, Metazoa, Chordata, Mammalia, Primates, Cebidae.